AGGCAAUUAAUUCCUUACUGAGUUACAAUUAUCCUUCAAGGAUAUAACAAAUGAGAUACAUUAAAAUAUUUAAGUUUGAUUAUGUUUCAAUACAUAAUCAAAAUAUAUACACCACACAACCUAAGUACUUCACUCACUCCUGAAAUCUUCUGAAUCUUUCUCCUUAGGAGACAAUCAACAUUAAUACAAUUAUAGAAAAAUUCUAAGGAGAAGCAAUCACACUUUUAUGCACAUUAAAUAGUAUUUUCAAAACUUUUUGGAGAGUACAUCUGAUGACUAUGCAGAGUUCUCCCCACACACUUAGUUUCAGGUUCUCUCCAUCUUAUGUUCCUACUGCUCCACACUUACUCAAUCAGUACAUUAUUUUGCUUUUUGCUUUACCAAAAUGGAACUGCUAAUUUGAGUUUCCUGUCUCCUCAUAUUUGCCCUCCAAAACAAUUCAUUGAAUCCAAGACUUAAUAGUAGUCAAUGGUUACAGCUACUUUUUUUUUUUCUAACCCAUAUUUCUUUUUUCUCUACUCUUUAUGUCAAAAUUUCCCAAAAGUCCCAUUUUGUAGGGCACUGUAUCUGCUGUAAGAGAGACACACCUCACUGCAGGGUAAAUUUCCAGGUAGGGAAGUCACACAUACUGUCCCUCAAAUGGGAAUGUGACUUUCUUUAAGCAAUAAAAGGGGAACAGAGGUGAAUUCUGUCGAUCCAAGCUGGAGUUUAAAAAGCUAUAGUGCUGUAAUUCACCACACGCUCUUUCCUUCUUUUCCUUCUAUGUGACCUACUGAAAAACCCCACCCCUCAAGGCAGUAAUGGGUUGAUGCUCACACAGUGCCUGCUCCAUCAGCUUGAGCCCAGAAAGCCCCUGAUGAAGGCAGAGGACUUGAAUUUAGAAAUUACCCAUAUUUACAUGAAAAGAGAAUGUUAAGGCAGAAGAACCAGAUCAAGUGGGCAAAUUUAACUACUACACAACUACUCAGAAGGAUGUAGGUUACGAAGUUUAUAUGAUUUACAGAGAAGUAUGGGUGUGAACUUCAAUACACACUCAUGCCUACUCCUACCCAAUGUACUGUUUGCUAAGGCCUCAAAAAAGGAAAAAGCUCUUUCUUGUUUUUUUAAUCCAGGGAGACAGGAGCUUCAUUCUACUUGUUCCAACACUGACAUACUCAAUAAAUGUUAAGCAAAUGAAUGGGAACAAGGGAUGCAAAGGGUCUCACAGUAAAGUUUGAGAAAAAUUAUACACACCAAAUUUGAAUAAUAUAAAGUUUUAGAAACAGCAAAUCGACUUUUAAAAAUCAAAGUAGUAUAUACACAUAGUUAAAGGUCAAAUAGUACUAAAAUCCCACAGUGAAAACAGCAGUCCUCUGCCCAACCACCUCAAGCCCUACUCCUCAGAUCCAACUUUUUGCCACUCUUUUAGUACACUUUUCUGGUGUUUACCUUCAUUAUUCCAAAUAUGUUGAUGUUCUUAUUUAACCAAUUCACAGUUCUAUCCAUUACCUAUUUACUUCACACUUCGGAAGAUAAGGAUUUAAGUCUCUUACUAUCACCCUCCCCCCCACCUUCCCAUCCCACCAGCUUUCUAAUAGACUUGGCACAAUUUUUAGCAAAAUCAGUAUUUAAAUUGAAAGCUAUGUAACUAUUGUUCUCCACUGAGCCACGUAAUUGUCCUAUGUUUGUUAACUUUCUUGUACACCUUUUUAUCUUUACUAUGAUAUAAUUCCUGAACCUUGUUUGGAUUAUCUUUAUUUUAGUUACACCCUUCAUUGUGUUUGGCUGAAUACAGAUUUACAAGACGACAAUCAUCUCCUCUAAGAAUUUAAAGAAUAUCCUUCUUCUACCUUCUUUCUUAUAAUCCUAUUAUUGUGAAGUCAGACACCAUUCUCUUUCUGAUUUUUUCAUGAUUUAUCUGUUCUUUUUCUCAAUCUUCCAACCUCCACCCCAUUAGAAGCUUCGAAAAUUUUCUCUUUAGCAUCCAGUUUGAAACUUUUACUGAUAUACCCUAAUUUGUGUCUUUUCUCAUUCAUUCUCUUAAGCAUUUUUCAUUCAGUUUGCUAGGUCAUUUUAAUCUAAAGAUUUAUGAAUUACACUAUUAAUAAAUAAAAUUACGUAUUUCUUUGAUAAUUUUCUCCCCAAUUAUCUCUAUCUUUUCUUUACCUCCUACAUGUGGAUGUUGGAUUUGCUGGAAUGCUCCUCAAAUACUCCUACCAUUUCCUUUCUAUUGUCUCUGUUUUAUUUUCAUCCUCUUAGAGAUUUCCUCAACUUUUCCAUUCAGCAUUUUCUAUUUUCUAUUCCUCUCUACUGAGUUCCAAUUGAGAAGUUCCAACUCAGUUCCCUUUACAUUUUUCUUUCUUAAAAAUUCUUUUCAAGUCAGACACCUCCCUAAAUCAUGGGGGCUUUUCAAUUCUCUAGAAAAGAAUCUGCCUGUCUCCUGAAAGGUUGGGAUAUAUUGCCAGUGUUCUGGGAACGGCAGGCAGAGGCGGCUGGGGCAGACUCCCACACUGAUUCCCCAGCUUCAGGCCCAUAUGGCAUCCCUAAUUUCCGUGGUCCUGGUACCACCAAGCUUGAGCCCGUCAUGUGGCUUUUGAGGCUGCUCAGCUUGCCUCGCAUGGGCUUGCCUCUCGAAGGCAGUAAAACAACAACUGCUAGAGUUAUACUAAAUCUGUUAUCAGUCCUCUAGCUUCCACUUUCCAAAUAUGUGUUCAUCUCCUGCUUGCUGUGGAAUCUCUCCUAUUUUCUUUAUCUUUGCAGGUUUAUAACUUCUAAAAUUCCUUUUCCAUCCUUUUUAGAGGGAUUUGGGAAGUAAAGAAGACAAAAAUCAUGUACUCAAUCUGCCACAUUGAACUUGAAGUCCCAGAAAUACAAUUUUAAGGUAGAUUACCUGGUGAUUAUGUAGUUCAAUUUCCUCAUUUAUAAAAUAGCUGAGGAAAGAAAUAAGGUAGGUUAAGUGCUCUGCUAGAAGUUCCUUGUCCAAGUUCAGAGCAGAACCAGGGAUAAAAUGUCUCCUAUCUAUUAGUUUGGUGCUUUUUCAAUUCCUAACAUAAUGUCUUGAAAGAAAAGUAUUUUGUAGGCCUUCUGCACUAGGGACAAGAAAUCUGUCAUUGAACCAUCCAUUAAUUAUGUAAUUAAAAAGGAAACUAAUAACUCAUAUACUGAAUGCCAUGUGUCAAAAAUAAUGACCACCAAGGCAGUGAGGGAAGGGGAGGUCCCUAAGGGCGAGCUAGGGCAGUUUCUAAAGGUCCAGGACGCCGCUAAGAUUCGCAUUAGGGCUUCUGGCAGGAACUCCAGGUAAGGGGUGAACAAAGGCAGUACGCUGGCAGAGGCUCUAGGUCAAAGCACACUUCCGCCGAGGCUACUUCCAAGAAAGAGAGAACACACAGCUGCCACGGCCCGCAUUCUGCUGAGUACCCUGGACACAUCAGUCACCGUCUGUCUGUCAUCUGUGCCAGCCAAUGGGAUUAUAUCGGCUCUUAACCUUUCUGCAUUGUGCUGUGCAAUCCUUCAGUAGUUUUUCAUUUAUUAUAGUUUCAUUAAUCGAUAGCCAUUUUCCAACUAUACACUCUGAAAUUUAUGAUACAGCCUCAAGAUUUCUAGGUAAGUCACCGUGUUUAAGACUCAAACAGUAAACAGAAUAAAAAUAUGAUGAGCAAAAAAAUUGAGUGGCACCAAAAACAUCUAAAAUGUUGGUAGUUUUCUUUGUUUCUAUGUCAUAGGUCCAAGGAAUCGGAAAGCAGGAAGAAACAACUCUCAAUAGCGGAAGUGUAAAAUAAUGUAUACUUUCUCUUCUAACACCACAGUGAAAAAUCGUUCCGUGAGUCCUGCAAACCCCAGCACAGAGCAAGAGAACUGGUAUUCUGUAAGAGAAAUUCUCAAAAUAGGGCAUCAUGGAAGAAUUUGUACAAUGUGUCUGGAGACCUGGCUUCAAGGCCUGCCUGUAAAAAUGACUGCCAUUUACCUUGAGUGGGACCUUCAGGAAGAUGGCACAUGCUGUGGAGACACAGACUUCAAAGUCAGAGAGCUGAGUUCAAAUAGAAAAACCAAGUCUUUGAUAUGACAACCUUAAAAUAUUUAAAGUCAACUAUAGAAGUCCUUCCUGAAUCUUCCUACAGAGAAUGAGACGGAAUAUGGAUUUGGAAUCAAGACAGAUCAGUCUGAAUGGUGGUUUGCCAGGUCAAAAUAAAGACCUGGUCUGUCUGACACCUUAUUUAAUGUCUUCUGUGUCUUGGAAUGCUGAAAUAUCUCUCUCUGUGCACUGUCACGUCUCUGGCUGACGGCAGCUUUGCCCUGGCAACAAUGAUUAUUAAGCAGAUCUGCUUCAGAGCACGGAAGUAAACCAGGAGGGCAAGGAAAAUGAAAAUAAAGUAGUGGGGGGGAUACAAUACUAAAUCUGAAAGGGGAACUAUUUUUUCCACUCUUCAAUUAUAAUAAAUACCUGCCUUUAAAUGUGCUUCUUUUAACUCUCUUUUUAGAAAAAUAUAUGUAGACUUGUGAUGGCUAAUUUACUUUUCCUUCCUGUUUUCUUUCUGUUCCAGUAAUCUGACCACAGAUUGUCAUACUUGUCAACAGCUCUCCUCAAGGGGGAGGGAAAUGCUGCAUCAUCAGUGAUGUUUAUAAUUCCUUUUACAGUAAUAGAGUAUCUGCUCAGUGAUUAAUAAUCCAAAAUACAGUAUAACAGAGCCAAACAAAUGGCCCCAGUGUAAGAAAGCAGCAUAGGAAACAAGUUUGGACAUAGUGCUGUACCUGCCAAAAUAAAGAAAAGCAACAUGUUUUAUGGGCAGAGCACUGAGGGGUACAUUUAAAGAUCUAGUGUCUAGUCAGGAAUGGCAGUAGACAUUUUUUUCUUCUGAGAAACCUGAUUACAUUACUUAAGUCAUUUUUCUGUUGUCUUAUUAAUUGAAGAUCGCUUUCUAGUAGCUGCUUUCUAUCCUGCUGUUCAACUGACUGCAGUUCUUCUGGACUUGUUAUAUCAUCAAAAAUGAUAGUCAGUGUCCAUGCUAUUCACCCAGACCUCUAUAACUUUUCAUCUUAAACCCCUGCAUUUCAAAAACAGACAGAAGAAUGCUCUUUACAGUUUAUCCACCAAGUGCAUCAACUGGUAUAAUUACCUGAAUGAUACUUUUAUUCUCAGUCACUCGAUGCAUUUCAAAAGUACCAGGAACAGAAAUAUCACUGGCCUAGCCAGGGUUUCUGUGGAUUUUAACUCUUUCCAAUAAUACGUCCCUGAAACUUUGGGGAAAAGAAUGAUUGGACAUGGAUUCCUUGAAUAACUUUGAAAACAACUAGACUGGUUUUGAUAGAAAGCAAAUGAAAUUUCCCAUGGACAGUACUUCUGGAAUACUAGUAAUGUUCUAUUUCUUGAUCUGGGUGGCGUUUCCAUGGGAGUUUAUAGCUAUUUCUUUAAACCACCUAAGCUCUGUGCAUGCAUCUGUAUGUAUGACAUGUAUCACAAUGAAAAAGUAAUGAAAAAAAUUUAAAAGAUCUUUAGAAAUUAGGUACACUUCUUCAGAGAUUCAGGGAGUUGGAGUGGAUAUUUUAAGAAUUAUUCCAGACCUCUGAUCUGUAUUUAUUACAUAUUAGACAAUCCAUCAUAGUCAACUCUCCAUGUUAAAGAAUAUUUAAAGGUGAAAAACCAGAAACCCCUCCAUCUUAAUCAAGAUUUUUAAUUAAGAAUUAAAGAUAUUCAUGAUAUAUGUGUUAACGCUAAUAGCUUCUAAUAUGAAGCAGAAGCUACAACUUUGCUCUCUCCUCACUAUUUUCUUCUUAUUUUUAUUUACUUAUCAUUAACAGAAACUCAUGAAACUAUUCCCUUUGAACUCACAAUAAAUUAAAAACAAAAGCAGACAUUUACCUUGAGAGUGCAUCAAAAUAAUACUAGAUUUCUCUUUUAUAUAGUAAUUAUCAUUCAACUAAAAUCUUAGGAGUUGACAUGUUUUUCUGUCACAUAUGAAGAAAACAAAAGUUAAAUUAUUAAAUCAAAUUCAUAUAUUUUAUUCCCUUCUCUUCAUUAUAUUCAGCUGAAUUUAUCUUUUUACUUUUUAUUAUCUAGUAAUUGACAUUUUAGUAGGAACAAUAUAAAAAUGUAUUUAAAUGUAGAAAAUGACACAAAAAAUAAAGUUAAGCAUUUGUGUUAUUAAUAUUCUUCUCCUUUUUGGGAAGUAAUUCACAUCCAAAGAACAUAAUGGUCAUUCCUGAAAACUGCUAUAAAGUAAAAAUGGUGAGAUCAUAAGUAGACUUAAAAAGACUUUACCAGAAACAGACAUUUCUCCAAAGAAGAAAUACAAAUGGCCAACAGGCACCUGAAAAGAUGCUCCACAUUGCUAAUCAUCAGGGAAAUGCAAAUUAAAACCACAAUGAGACAUAACCUCACACCAGUUAGAAUGGCCACUAUCCAAAAGACAAAAAAUAAAUUGUUGGAGAGGAUGUGGAGAAAUGGGAACCUUCUUAUAUUGCCGAUGGGAAUGCCAAUUGGUUCAGCUUCUGUGGAAAGCAGUAUAGAGGUUCCUCAAAUAAACUAAAAAUAGAAAUACCAUUUGACCCAGUAAUUCCACUCCUAGAAAUUUCCCAAAGAAAACAAAAUCCCCGAUUCAAAAAGACUUAUCACCCCUAUGUUUAUUGCCACACUAUUUACAAUAGCCAAGAUAUGGAAGCAACCUAAGUGUGCAUCAAUAGAUGAACAGAUAAAGAAGAUGUGGUAUACAUACAAACGGAAUAUUAUUCAGCCAUAAAAAGAAAAGAAAUUCACCAUUUGCAACAACAUGAAUUAAGCUAGAGGGCAUUAUGCUCAGUAAAAUAGAAAAACAAAGUAAAACAGAAGCAACAAAACAGCAGCAGAAUCAUAGACACUGAGAAGUGACUAGUGGUUACCUAAGGGGAGGAGAUGGGGUGGGUGGGAGUGGUGGUGAGGUGGAUAAAGGGGCACACACACACACACACACACAAAGACUCUACCAGAAACAGCAGGAAAAUGCCAUUAUUUUUAAAGGCAAUGAUUAUUAAUCUGUAAAUUGAUGAUACUUAAUUUGUUCAAUCAAAUGGAAAAGAUGGCAAACAGUUUUAAAACUGUAGGAAUGAACUCACUAUGAUCAAUUUCUUCCCAUAUUAGGAGUGGGCAAACAAACAAAGCAUGUGCAACUAAAUAUUCACAAUGUAUUUUCUUUUUAAAUAUUGCUUUCAAAUGUUUAUAUCAUUUUUCCAAGAAAAGCAACAAAUAACUAUUCUAAUUCCUAUAAACACAUGAUGACAUCAUCUACACAAAAUAUUACUUAGGGCCAUGGCAUUUUUUUCAGUGUUACAUUAUAAUUUAAGGUGAGCCACAUAAUGGAUUGCACUAUAAGGAAUCACAAAGAUCUUCAAAUGACUUAUAUAAUUCCAUUUUGCAGUUUAAAAGUGCAUAUACGAUUAUGUUGUUUUUCUAUUUGUCUCUUAUAUUUCUUCUGAUUCAUUCUAAAUGUGGUUCAGAAUCCUGCUGUCUUUGGUUGAGAAAAAUAGAAUAGUGAAAGAGAGGAGGCUAGUUAUUAAUGUACCUUUUACAUUUUAUUUUAUUUAAUUGAAAAGAAUGCAUUAUGUUAUUUAAAUUAACCCCUUAUAUUACAUUUUCUGCUUUCAUUUCAUUUAGGUAUCAGAAAAGAAAGAAGUGUAUUUGUAAACUGAAAUUAUGAGAAAUAUUGCAACAUUAAACAAUUUAUUUGGUUAAAAAGUACAACACAGUUAUUGAAACAUUUUUUUCAGACACUGUGUUAGCCUCUAGAAAAGCAAAGAUGAAUAGAAAUGAUGCUUACCGGGCUUUUACUGGGACAGGGAGUGGUGGCAUUUUGGAAAUAGAGGAAAGAUCAAUGUUGCAAGGCAAUGUGAGAAGGUCUAUCAUAGAAGCAAAUGCAACAUGCAGUGUGGUACUAAAGGGUGAAGCGAGGGGGGAGUGGGGGGAUCAGGAAAGCAUUCCAAAAUAUGUAAUAAUUAGUGAAUUCUUAAUCGGAAGUAUGAAAGUGAAGGCAUAUUAGGGAAUGACAGUCCAUCUUGUACCUCUGGUAUAGCCCUGGGGAGGGAGAAGAGGGAAAGCGUGCCA
Molecule: long non-coding RNA, 8050 nt
Organism: Manis pentadactyla (Chinese pangolin)
Lineage: Eukaryota; Metazoa; Chordata; Mammalia; Pholidota; Manidae
Exons: 6
Source: RefSeq, a predicted model, not a curated record